This 468-nucleotide ribosomal RNA is filed under the name uncultured bacterium. RNAcentral's name for it is "partial 16S ribosomal RNA". It matches the Rfam family "Bacterial small subunit ribosomal RNA", at positions 28 to 507 of the family's 1533-position model. The record is from RNAcentral.
GACGAACGCUGGCGGCAUGCUUAACACAUGCAAGUCGAACGGAAACGCCGGGCUUUUGUGCGGUGCUCGAGUGGCGACCGGGUAAGUAACACGUGAGUAACCUGCCCCUGCCUUUGAGAUAAGUUCAGGCCACUGGGGCUCAUCCCGGAAAGGAGUUCUUGCUUCUUGGUGGGGCCUGGAAAGUUUCGGCUGUUGGGGAUGGACUCGCGGCUUAUCGGCUUGUUGGUUGGGUAGUGGCUUAGCAAGGCUUGGACGGGUAGCCUGCCUGAGAGGGUGACCGGCCACAUUAGGACUGAGAUACGGCCCGGACUCCUACGGGAGGCAGCAGUGGGGAAGAGAGCAUAAUGGGCGGAAGCAUGGUGCAGCAACGCCGCGUGCGGGGUGACAGCCUGCGGUUAGGAAAGCACAUUCGCCUGUGACGAAGCGUGAGUGACGGUAAUGGGUGAAGAAGCACCGGCUAACUACGUG